AUAGUUCUUUAUCUCGUUAUCUGUUCUUCCCGGCAGUCUCCCAGCAAUCAAAGACCACCUGAAAAGAUCAAUCAGCAUCGACUUCCAGAAAGUAUCAAGCUUGAAGUCUUGUAAGUCAAAUUUAAUCUAUUGCAGAGACCGUCGAUACAUUGAGUCUUUUGUCAAUAAAAUAGUGUUGAUAGAGGAA
Cucurbita maxima (winter squash) is the source of this 187-nucleotide long non-coding RNA. RefSeq lists it as uncharacterized. The record is from RefSeq and is a predicted model, not a curated record. NCBI's taxonomy places the organism in Eukaryota, Viridiplantae, Streptophyta, Magnoliopsida, Cucurbitales, Cucurbitaceae. The transcript is spliced from 2 exons.